CGAACGAUGAUGCCCAGCUUGCUGGGCGGAUUAGUGGCGAACGGGUGAGUAAUACGUGAGUAACCUGCCCUUGACUCUGGGAUAAGCCUGGGAAACUGGGUCUAAUACUGGAUACUACCUCUUGCCGCAUGGUGGGUGGUGGAAAGGGUUUUACUGGUUUUGGAUGGGCUCACGGCCUAUCAGCUUGUUGGUGGGGUAAUGGCUCACCAAGGCGACGACGGGUAGCCGGCCUGAGAGGGUGACCGGCCACACUGGGACUGAGACACGGCCCAGACUCCUACGGGAGGCAGCAGUGGGGAAUAUUGCACAAUGGGCGGAAGCCUGAUGCAGCGACGCCGCGUGAGGGAUGACGGCCUUCGGGUUGUAAACCUCUUUCAGUAGGGAAGAAGCGAAAGUGACGGUACCUGCAGAAGAAGCGCCGGCUAACUACGUGCCAGCAGCCGCGGUAAUACGUAGGGCGCAAGCGUUGUCCGGAAUUAUUGGGCGUAAAGAGCUCGUAGGCGGUUUGUCGCGUCUGCUGUGAAAGCCCGGGGCUCAACCCCGGGUCUGCAGUGGGUACGGGCAGACUAGAGUGCAGUAGGGGAGACUGGAAUUCCUGGUGUAGCGGUGAAAUGCGCAGAUAUCAGGAGGAACACCGAUGGCGAAGGCAGGUCUCUGGGCUGUUACUGACGCUGAGGAGCGAAAGCAUGGGGAGCGAACAGGAUUAGAUACCCUGGUAGUCCAUGCCGUAAACGUUGGGCACUAGGUGUGGGGGACAUUCCACGUUUUCCGCGCCGUAGCUAACGCAUUAAGUGCCCCGCCUGGGGAGUACGGCCGCAAGGCUAAAACUCAAAGGAAUUGACGGGGGCCCGCACAAGCGGCGGAGCAUGCGGAUUAAUUCGAUGCAACGCGAAGAACCUUACCAAGGCUUGACAUUCACCGGACCGCCCCAGAGAUGGGGUUUCCCUUCGGGGUCGGUGGACAGGUGGUGCAUGGUUGUCGUCAGCUCGUGUCGUGAGAUGUUGGGUUAAGUCCCGCAACGAGCGCAACCCUCGUUCUAUGUUGCCAGCACGUGAUGGUGGGGACUCAUAGGAGACUGCCGGGGUCAACUCGGAGGAAGGUGGGGAUGACGUCAAAUCAUCAUGCCCCUUAUGUCUUGGGCUUCACGCAUGCUACAAUGGCCGGUACAAAGGGUUGCGAUACUGUGAGGUGGAGCUAAUCCCAAAAAGCCGGUCUCAGUUCGGAUUGAGGUCUGCAACUCGACCUCAUGAAGUCGGAGUCGCUAGUAAUCGCAGAUCAGCAACGCUGCGGUGAAUACGUUCCCGGGCCUUGUACACACCGCCCGUCAAGUCACGAAAGUUGGUAACACCCGAAGCCGGUGGCCUAACCCCUUU
This 1373-nucleotide ribosomal RNA is filed under the name Kocuria sp. RNAcentral's name for it is "bacterial SSU rRNA". It matches the Rfam family "Bacterial small subunit ribosomal RNA". Lineage: Bacteria; Bacillati; Actinomycetota; Actinomycetes; Micrococcales; Micrococcaceae. The record is from RNAcentral.